This 253-nucleotide ribosomal RNA is filed under the name uncultured bacterium. RNAcentral's name for it is "partial 16S ribosomal RNA". It matches the Rfam family "Bacterial small subunit ribosomal RNA", at positions 524 to 776 of the family's 1533-position model. The record is from RNAcentral.
UACGGAGGGAGCGAGCGUUGUCCGGAUUUACUGGGUGUAAAGGGUGCGUAGGCGGCUCUGCAAGUCAGAAGUGAAAUCUAUGGGCUUAACCCAUAAACUGCUUUUGAAACUGUGGAGCUUGAGUGAAGUAGAGGUAGGCGGAAUUCCCGGUGUAGCGGUGAAAUGCGUAGAGAUCGGGAGGAACACCAGUGGCGAAGGCGGCCUACUGGGCUUUAACUGACGUUGAGGCUCGAAAGCGUGGGGAGCAAACAGG